This is a long non-coding RNA of Girardinichthys multiradiatus, 4148 nucleotides long. RefSeq lists it as uncharacterized. Lineage: Eukaryota; Metazoa; Chordata; Actinopteri; Cyprinodontiformes; Goodeidae. The transcript has 3 exons. The record is from RefSeq and is a predicted model, not a curated record.
AAGAACAUGUAUUGAAUGUUCCCUCUCCCCAAACACCUCUUCCAGCUCCUCUGGUGGAAGCCCGAGGCGUUUCUAGGCUUGGGCUUACACUGAUGAUCAAUGAUAACAUCAGCAUAACCCCCGCAGAUGACCACCCAACCAAUGUGUUUCUGUCUGGUUCUAUAAAAAUUAAGAGUCAAAGCCCAGGACUACUGCAUCUCAGACUUGUACUGCCGAAUUAUUCAGCUUGAUGAGUACCAGUGCUACUCUUUAAAUAUAAUUAUUUUCCAUAUUAUAAUUCAAUCCAGGGCUCUGCAGGCACCAGCCACCAAGGGCAGCCUAUUUUAGCAAGGUCGUGCUACAGCAGGGUUGAUUUACAUCUGCUUUAUAAAUACAUCAGUGACAUCUGAUAAGUAACAGCAAUUUAACUAAUGAAGAGUACAUUGUUACCAGCACUAGAGUUUCAAAGCAUCAGAAGAACACUUCCAGUAUAAAUAAACACAUCUCAAGACUAAUGAGUGGACAGAACGAGAAACAAAGGCAUUGGAAUAGAAAAGACGCUCAGUUGUUUCUUUAAAGAGAAAAGCUAAUAUACACAGCUAUCGACAGCAUGAGAAAUAACUGAAAUGGCAUCUUUAAUAAAAGAGGCUACGCUGCACCAACAGGGGACAGUCGGACUCCACAAUUAGAUAGGCUUUUUGCCUCCAACCAGUUAUGAAAAAAAAAAUACAGAAUGCAAUAACAUAUUUUGAGAGCUACUCUCCCAUGGCCUAAUAAUAGAAGCACUCUAAAGAGUAUUUAUGAUCAUGACCUUUCACAAACCUGUACAAAUCAAGCUCAUGUUAGAUGCAUUGAGCAGGACCACCAAACCACAGCAGCACAACACCAGCAUAACACUAUAAUGUCAUCCAUCUACAUUUACUCUGAUGCUUUUCAAAGCAGAUGCUUCUAUACAUUCAGGAUUGGAUUGGAUAAUAAAGCCAACAGGAAGGGUGUUUCCUGAAUUCUCCUAAUAGUGAAACUUGAUGCUGUAGGAAUUAAAACAGCUCAGCUUAAAACAGCAGUAGGAGAGGAGAUUUAAAUCAACAGUCCUGUUUUAGUAAAUCACUAAGACUCACCAAUUUGGCUUUUCCUGGCUGAUGUCUGACCUGCCGAUUCCAGCUUUCAUUGCUUUUUUUUUUUCUAAACACCGUCACGUAUAAGAGAAAAAAAAAAUGCUGCAGAUUCCACUGGAAUGUGCCAGAAAAAAAAAUGAUCCUCAACUGAACAUAGCAUUGGUGCCUGAUCUUUAUUAGACUUUUAUUAAACUCAAAAAUUGCAACAAGUACAUGUUGGUGGUUGUGUUUAUAGUUUUAAUGUUUAGAUGUUUAAUUAAAGUAAGCAGUAAACACAAACAAACUGAAUAAAAAAUUAAAUAAAUAAAUAAAUAAAAAGUCAGGACUUUUUCAAAAUGUGACCUGGCAAUUCCAGUUAAACAAUUGGGUGAUUUUAAUUUCGCGCUGAUGGAGCAAUGAUGUUGUAAUUAAAAUGUUUGUCUUUUUUUUUUUUUUGCAUAAACAAAUCGCCACCUUAAUGUGGUAGAGGGGUUUGAGUGCUCAAAUGAUCCAGGAGGCUAUGUUGUUUGGGUCUUAAAUGCCCCUGAUAGGGUCUCCCAUGGCAACAGGCUCUGGGUGACGGGUCAGAAAAAGAGUGGUUCAGAAGCCUUUAUGAGGACUAGUAAAACGGAGCACGAGAUGAUGCCCGAUCCCCGAAUGCUUAAAGUGGCUCUAGGGACGUGGAAUGUCAACUUAUUAUGGGGGAAGGAGACCAAGCCUGAGAGACAUUAGCUAGAAAAAGUCAGGCUCACAUCCACGCACAGCUUGGGCUCUGGAAUCCAGCUCUUUUAAGAGAGUGUGGACUCUCUUCCACUCUGGAAUGGCCCGCGGUUAGAGGCGGUAGGUUAGGUUUGCCUAUGACCCCCAGCUCAGUGGUUUCAUGUUGAGGUUCACCCCGGUUGAGUCGCAUCUCUGCGCCUUCGGGUUUGGGUCUCUGUCUGCCGUUUUAGCCUAUGGGCCGAAUGUCCCUGUCAGAGGUGCUGGAUGGUUCCCCUCUCAGGUUCUCCAUCCUUCUGCUGGGGGACUUCAAAGCCCACACCAGAAACAACUUGGAGGGGUGUGAUUGGGAGGAACGGCCUCCCUGAUCUGAAUCCAAGUGGUGUUUUGUUAUUGGACUUCUGUGCCAGUCACGGAUUGUCCAUAACGAAUACCAUUUUUAAGCAGAAGCAUCAAUGCAUUUGACAACAGGACACCCUAGGCUGGAGGUCGAUGGUCAAUAACUUUAUAGUCGUGUGUUUGGACCUUCGGCCACAAGUCUUGGAUACUCGGGUGAAGAGAGGGGCUAAGCUGCUACUCUAACAGAUCAUCACUUUGUGGUGAACUGGGUCUGCUGAAAAAGAAGGAAGGUGGACAUACUUGGCAGACUCAAUUGUACAGCGAGGGUCUGCUGGGAAUGUCUGGCGGAGUCCUCGGUCAGGGACUUUCAGAUGUGGGAGGCUGGAGACAGAAUACAAGUAGAGCAUGUUCUCCACCUCUAUUUUUGCUGAAGAGGAAGUCCUAUCGGUUGGCUUUAGGACUCAUGAGAAGGCUGACUGGUACCACAGUUCGCAAUAGGAAAAUGGUGGCUUGCCCUCUUUGGGUUGGUAGGGAGUUCUUGCCUCAAGUGGAGGAGUUCACGAGUGAGGGAAGAAUGAAGCGGGAGAUUGACAGAGGGAUCAGUGCAGCCGCCGCAGUCUGAUGUGGUGAAAAGAAAGCUUAGCCGAAAGGCUAAGCUUUCGAUUCACUGGGUAAGCAUACGUUCCUACCCUCAUCGAUGGGCAUGAACUUCGGGUCAUGAAAGAAUGAGAUCUGAGAUGCUAGUGGCUGAAAUUAGCUUCCUGCGCUGGGUGGCUGGGCUCUCUCUUAGAGAUAGGGUGAGGAGCUCGGAGUAGAGCCGCUGCUCCUCCCAAUCGAGAGGAGUCAGCUGAGGUGGCCUGGGCAUCUGUCCCGGACACCCCCUGGACACCUUCCUCGGGAGGUGUUCCUGGCACGUCCCACUGGGAGAACGCCCAGAAGACGGGCCAGGAUACGCUCGAGGAACUAUGUUUCCUGACUGAACUUGGAAACGACUCGGGCUUCCACCAAAGGAGCUGGAAGAGGUGUCUGGGGAGAGGGAAGUCUGGGCGUCUCUGCUGAGAGUGGUGAACCACGUGACCCGGGCCCGGAUUAACUGAAGACAACAAAUAAGAGUACAAAAUAUUGCCUUAAUGGAGCAGUAAAGCAGCUAAACAACUAAGGUAAGGAACAAAGAUGGGUACACAUCUUUAUUCCUAGGCAAUAAACAGGGGAACAUCUAGGAAAUGUUUACGUCUAAUCGUAUAAUGGUUAAAAAGGUGUCAUCCUAUAAGGACUUGGGAAUAUGGAAUGAUUAAAAGCUUUAAUUUAAAGUAGAUAUUUCUAAUCUAAUUAGGAAGCUCAAAAUUAAAGUUGUUUUGUAUUUCAUAAAUAAAUUAUGUUUCAUAUUCUUUGCAAAGAAAAUAACAGUUUAUGUCUAUAAUUGAUACUGGUAUAAAUUCAUUAACAUUGAUAAUCAUUUUAAAUGAAAAAUCUCUCACUCAUUACUGUAUUCUGUCUCUUGUGUUUUAUUCAUUGUUUAUUAUUCCUUUGUUUUAUAUAGCUCUGAGUUGUGUGGCUGUUGUUUGGGCCAGGUCUCCCUUAUAAAAGAAAUUUCUGAUUUCAAUGGACUUCCUUAAUAAAUGAAAGGAGUGGACGAUGUUAGGCUGCUCAGUAAAAGGUUUUUUUCAGGCUACAUUGUGUGUUAACUAGAGUGGAACAGAGGAUGUUGCCAUGACUACACGAGGUGGGGUCCCCGGAUUGGAGAACAGGUCCUCUCAGCCAAUCACAACAGGCUGCUGAAUACUUUGGGAGAAAGGACCAAUACAUAACAGAGCUCCUCAUCUGUACAACUCUGCUGCUAAUAAAAUGGUUUAAUCCACUGGCAUUCAGAUAAGUUAAUUCAUUUUGAGGUUUGAACCAUUUUACAAAACUAAAAAGACAUUUUGCUCUCUUUCACAGAGAAAGUAAAAAGAAAACAUAUUAGAGAAAGAUGCAUAUUUAGCUCAAGGCCUAAAAUGGGUCAACAUUUAAAAAGCGGCC